GUAGGUGGGGUCCUUACACCUGUAGAAAAUCAUGGGGCUUAGGAUCCUGCAUAACUUCUGAGUGCAUCUUGGGUGUUCAUCUGCACUAUAAAAUAUUUAUUGUGUUUGCUUCCAGUUAUAUGUUCUCAAAAUCUUGUAUCAACUCUUAGUGUCUCAAGGGAAGAGUAACUCAAAACACAUGUGCAGUGAAUGCAGGGCAGGUUGUACAAUGCUGAUACAUGUUGAAGAGAUCUUUCAUAAUCUACUGUGGAAGAAGUUCAAAAAUAAUGAUUUGAAGCAGGGUAAUAGCUGUUACCUCUGAGACUAAAGUGAUCUUCCAUCUGGAGGACGUUUCCUGGGACAGGGACCAGUAGUCCCCUGAGGGACCGUGUUGCCAGAAGGCUGCUGGAGGAGUUGGAGUGUGGAGGAAGCAGCUGGAAAAUAAUCCAGAUGAUGAAAAGGCUGGGCUGUGCCAAGAGCUGCUGGGGCAGAAGGAACACUGCAACAGAGCUGCCAAGUGCAUUAACAGGGUAAGGCUUCUGCAAGCUGCAAGGCAUGGAGUGGUGAAAUGUGAGUCCCCCAUUGAAGAAAAAGUUCAAGACACAGCUCUCAGUGAUGUGCGCUGCCUUUUGGGAUAGGAAAGGGGUGAUUCUUCUGGAUUUCCUGGAACACAGAACAACACCAUCAAGUCUGAUCGCUACAUCACGAUGCUGACUAAGCUGAAACCUUGAACUUUCAGAAUCAGUCCAGAGAAGAAAUCUUUCUCUUGCAACAUGACAAUGCCAGGCCCCACAUCUGUUUGAAAACCACAGAGCACAUUGCCCAUCUUGUCUGGACCAUCCUAGCACAUCCACCAUGUAGUCUGGAUUUGGCACCUUCUAAUUUCCAUCUGUUUGGGCCAAUGAAAGAUGGACUGCAUGGGCAACAUUGUCCUAGCAACAAUGCCACCAUAGCAGCUGUGAAACAGUGUGUCACCUCCGCUGGUACAGAUUUUUAAUGAACACGGAAUUCAGGCUUGUGUUCAUUGCUGGCAAAAAUACAUAGCUCAUGGUGAUGGCUAUGUUGAAAAAUAUAAUUUUGUAGCUGAGAUUUUAUU
Molecule: long non-coding RNA, 1075 nt
Organism: Gallus gallus (chicken)
Lineage: Eukaryota; Metazoa; Chordata; Aves; Galliformes; Phasianidae
Source: Ensembl